UGUCAAAUUUGUUAUAAAUUCUGUGAAAAUCUUACAAAAUUUUGCACUUUAUUACUGUCCAUUUGGACUAACUGAUUGGAUUUCAUCUGAUCAAAUUUAAAUUACUGGCUACCAAUUACCGUAAACAGAAUGUUGAAGGGCUUGCUAAUAUUCGCUACUGGAGUAUACGGCGGAAUCUAUGCCUGUCAGAAUUACGAUGUACCUAGAGUUGACGAUCCGCAGAAGAUUCUAGAAAAAGUCCAAGAGUUUAUAGAAACAUACAAGAAGAAACCUUAGUCGAGUCAUGCAUGCUAGUUAACGAAUGGAGAAUUGUUUCAAGUAUUUUUAACACAAAACAUUAGCAAAAAUAAAAAAUUAUAAUUUUCUUAAA
This is a long non-coding RNA of Bradysia coprophila, 370 nucleotides long. RefSeq lists it as uncharacterized. Lineage: Eukaryota; Metazoa; Arthropoda; Insecta; Diptera; Sciaridae. The record is from RefSeq and is a predicted model, not a curated record.